UGCCAGCAGCCGCGGUAAUACGAACUGCGCAAACGUUAUUCGGAAUCACUGGGCUUACAGGGUGCGUAGGCGGUCCGGCAGGUCAGAUGUGAAAUCCCACAGCUCAACUGUGGAACUGCAUUUGAAACCUCCAGACUUGAGUAGACUAGAGGCAUACGGAACUUCCGGUGGAGCGGUGAAAUGUGUUGAGAUCGGAAGGAACACCAGAGGCGAAAGCGGUAUGCUGGAGUCUGUCUGACGCUGAGGCACGAAAGCCAGGGGAGCGAACGGGAUUAGAUA
This 279-nucleotide ribosomal RNA is filed under the name uncultured bacterium. RNAcentral describes it as "partial 16S ribosomal RNA". It matches the Rfam family "Bacterial small subunit ribosomal RNA", at positions 506 to 784 of the family's 1533-position model. The record is from RNAcentral.